AGUGAACGCUGGCGGUAGGCCUAACACAUGCAAGUCGAACGGCAGCACAGUAAGAGCUUGCUCUUACGGGUGGCGAGUGGCGGACGGGUGAGGAAUACAUCGGAAUCUACUUUUUCGUGGGGGAUAACGUAGGGAAACUUACGCUAAUACCGCAUACGACCUACGGGUGAAAGCAGGUGAUCUUCGGACCUUGCGCGAUUGAAUGAGCCGAUGUCGGAUUAGCUAGUUGGCGGGGUAAAGGCCCACCAAGGCGACGAUCCGUAGCUGGUCUGAGAGGAUGAUCAGCCACACUGGAACUGAGACACGGUCCAGACUCCUACGGGAGGCAGCAGUGGGGAAUAUUGGACAAUGGGCGCAAGCCUGAUCCAGCCAUACCGCGUGGGUGGAGAAGGCCUUCGGGUUGUAAAGCCCUUUUGUUGGGAAAGAAAAGCAGCAGGUUAAUACCCCGCUGUUCUGACGGUACCCAAAGAAUAAGCACCGGCUAACUUCGUG
This 492-nucleotide ribosomal RNA is filed under the name uncultured bacterium. RNAcentral's name for it is "partial 16S ribosomal RNA". It matches the Rfam family "Bacterial small subunit ribosomal RNA", at positions 29 to 507 of the family's 1533-position model. The record is from RNAcentral.